GGGGGGGGGGGGGGGGGGGGGGGGGGGGGGGGGGGGGGGGGGGGGGGGGGGGGGGGCAGGGGAGUGGCGGGGGGCCGGCGGGCGGGUGCGGGGCACGUACGCAACGGACCCUGACCUGGGGGAUAGCCCGGGGACACCCGGCUUAAUCCCCGGUACUAUACUGGAUUUGCCUCACUUUCUUCCUCAAGCUCCGGCGGUUCGGGCGGGGCGUGCGGCUGAUGAGGUAGUUGGUUGAGGUCACGGCUCACCAAGCCUACGAUCAGUAACCUGUGUGAGAGCACGACCAGUCACACGGGCACUGAGACACGGGCCCGACUCCUACGGGAGGCAGCAGUAAGGAAUAUUGGGCAAUGGAGGCAACUCUGACCCAGCCAUGCCGCGUGGAGGAUGAAGGCCCUCUGGGUUGUAAACUUCUUUUAUAGGGGACGAAACCUGUGUAUUCUUACGCAGUUGACGGUACCCGAGGAAUAAGCACCGGCUAACUCCGUG
RNAcentral lists this ribosomal RNA (489 nucleotides) under uncultured bacterium. RNAcentral describes it as "partial 16S ribosomal RNA". The stretch from base 53 to 489 matches the Rfam family "Bacterial small subunit ribosomal RNA", at positions 39 to 507 of the family's 1533-position model. The record is from RNAcentral.